RNAcentral lists this ribosomal RNA (492 nucleotides) under uncultured bacterium. RNAcentral describes it as "partial 16S ribosomal RNA". It matches the Rfam family "Bacterial small subunit ribosomal RNA", at positions 29 to 507 of the family's 1533-position model. The record is from RNAcentral.
AGUGAACGCUGGCGGUAGGCCUAACACAUGCAAGUCGAACGGCAGCACAGUAAGAGCUUGCUCUUACGGGUGGCGAGUGGCGGACGGGUGAGGAAUACAUCGGAAUCUACUUUUUCGUGGGGGAUAACGUAGGGAAACUUACGCUAAUACCGCAUACGACCUACGGGUGAAAGCAGGGGAUCUUCGCACCUUGCGCGAUUGAAUGAGCCGAUGUCGGAUUAGCUAGUUGGCGGGGUAAAGGCCCACCAAGGCGACGAUCCGUAGCUGGUCUGAGAGGAUGAUCAGCCACACUGGAACUGAGACACGGUCCAGACUCCUACGGGAGGCAGCAGUGGGGAAUAUUGGACAAUGGGCGCAAGCCUGACGCAGCCAUACCGCGUGGGUGAAGAAGGCCUUCGGGUUGUAAAGCCCUUUUGUUGGGAAAGAAAAGCAGCAGGUGAAUACCCCGCUGUUCUGACGGUACCCAAAGAAUAAGCACCGGCUAACUUCGUG